This 502-nucleotide ribosomal RNA is filed under the name uncultured bacterium. Its description in RNAcentral is "bacterial SSU rRNA". It matches the Rfam family "Bacterial small subunit ribosomal RNA", at positions 28 to 530 of the family's 1533-position model. The record is from RNAcentral.
GACGAACGCUGGCGGCGUGCCUAACACAUGCAAGUCGAGCGGGGUUGAAGCGAGGGGUAACUCGAGUUUCUACCUAGCGGCGGACGGGUGAGUAACGCGUGGGCAACCUGCCUCAAGGACUGGGAUAACAGCUCGAAAGGGCUGCUAAUACCGGAUAAGCCUAUGGCCUCGCAUGGGGCCAUGAGCAAAGGGGAAACCCGCCUUGAGAUGGGCCCGCGUCCCAUCAGCUAGUUGGUGAGGUGAAGGCUCACCAAGGCGACGACGGGUAGCCGGCCUGAGAGGGUGACCGGCCACACUGGGACUGAGACACGGCCCAGACUCCUACGGGGGGCAGCAGUGGGGAAUCUUGCACAAUGGGCGAAAGCCUGAUGCAGCGACGCCGCGUGAGCGAAGAAGGCCUUCGGUUGUAAAGCUCUGUCUGGAGGGACGAAGGAAGUAGACGGUACCUCCGGAGGAAGCCGACGGCUAACUACGUGCCAGCAGCCGCGGUAAAGUCACGUCG